UUUAUGGAGAGUUUGAUCCUGGCUCAGAACGAACGCUGGCGGGGUGCUUAACACAUGCAAGUCGGACGCGAAAGUACCGCUUCGGUGGUACAAGUAGAGUGACGCACGGGUGAGUAA
RNAcentral lists this ribosomal RNA (117 nucleotides) under Candidatus Auribacterota bacterium. RNAcentral's name for it is "partial 16S ribosomal RNA". It matches the Rfam family "Bacterial small subunit ribosomal RNA", at positions 1 to 113 of the family's 1533-position model. Lineage: Bacteria; Pseudomonadati; Candidatus Auribacterota. The record is from RNAcentral.